UGAUACCGAUUUAGUAUAAAUAAGAAAUAAC
This 31-nucleotide non-coding RNA is filed under the name Rattus norvegicus (Norway rat). The record is from RNAcentral. Lineage: Eukaryota; Metazoa; Chordata; Mammalia; Rodentia; Muridae.